GUGAACGCUGGCGGUAGGCCUAACCCAUGCAAGUCGCACGGCAGCACAGUAAGAGCUUGCUCUUACGGGUGGCGAGUGGCGGACGGGUGAGGAAUACAUCGGAAUCUACUUUUUCGUGGGGGAUAACGUAGGGAAACUUACGCUAAUACCGCAUACGACCUACGGGUGAAAGCAGGGGAUCUUCGGACCUUGCGCGAUUGAAUGAGCCGAUGUCGGAUUAGCUAGUUGGCGGGGUAAAGGCCCACCAAGGCGACGAUCCGUAGCUGGUCUGAGAGGAUGAUCAGCCACACUGGAACUGAGACACGGUCCAGACUCCUACGGGAGGCAGCAGUGGGGAAUAUUGGACAAUGGGCGAAAGCCUGAUCCAGCCAUACCGCGUGGGUGAAGAAGGCCUUCGGGUUGUAAAGCCCUUUUGUUGGGAAAGAAAAGCAGCAGGUUAAUACCCCGCUGUUCUGACGGUACCCAAAGAAUAAGCACCGGCUAACUUCGUG
Molecule: ribosomal RNA, 491 nt
Filed under: uncultured bacterium
Lineage: Bacteria
Description: partial 16S ribosomal RNA
Rfam family: Bacterial small subunit ribosomal RNA
Source: RNAcentral